GUGUCAGCCGCCGCGGUAAUACGGAGGGGGCUAGCGUUGUUCGGAAUUACUGGGCGUAAAGGGCGCGUAGGCGGCCGUGCAAGUCAGAUGUGAAAGCCCUGGGCUCAACCCAGGAGGUGCAUUUGAUACUGCAUGGCUAGAGUGUCGGAGAGGAUGGUGGAAUUCCCAGUGUAGAGGUGAAAUUCGUAGAUAUUGGGAAGAACACCGGUGGCGAAGGCGACCAUCUGGACGACAACUGACGCUGAGGCGCGAAAGCGUGGGGAGCAAACAGGAUUAGAUACCCUAGUAGUCC
RNAcentral lists this ribosomal RNA (292 nucleotides) under uncultured bacterium. RNAcentral's name for it is "partial 16S ribosomal RNA". It matches the Rfam family "Bacterial small subunit ribosomal RNA", at positions 505 to 796 of the family's 1533-position model. The record is from RNAcentral.